UACCAGCUCUCCGAGUGGUAGGGAUGAUUAUUGGGCUUAAAGCGUCCGUAGCCGGCUUAGCAAGUCUCCUGUUAAAUUCAGCGACCUAAUCGUUGAGCCGCGGGAGACACUACUAGGCUAGGAGGCGGGAGAGGCCGACGGUAUUCUCGGGGUAGGGGUGAAAUCCUAUAAUCCCGGGAGGACCACCAGUGGCGAAGGCUGUCGGCUAGAACGCGCUCGACGGUGAGGGACGAAAGCUGGGGGGAGCGAACCGGAUUAGAUACCCGGGUAGUCCCAGCUGUAAACGAUGCGGGCUAGGUGUUGGGGUGGCUACGAGCCACUUCAGUGCCGCAGGGAAGCCAUUAAGCCCGCCGCCUGGGGAGUACGGCCGCAAGGCUGAAACUUAAAGGAAUUGGCGGGGGAGCACCACAAGGCGUGAAGCUUGCGGUUC
Molecule: ribosomal RNA, 430 nt
Filed under: uncultured archaeon
Lineage: Archaea
Description: bacterial SSU rRNA
Rfam family: Archaeal small subunit ribosomal RNA
Source: RNAcentral